RNAcentral lists this ribosomal RNA (427 nucleotides) under uncultured bacterium. RNAcentral's name for it is "partial 16S ribosomal RNA". It matches the Rfam family "Bacterial small subunit ribosomal RNA", at positions 355 to 774 of the family's 1533-position model. The record is from RNAcentral.
UGGGGAAUAUUGCACAAUGGGCGCAAGCCUGAUGCAGCCAUGCCGCGUGUAUGAAGAAGGCCUUCGGGCUGUAAAGUACUUUCAGCGGGGAGGAAGGCGAUAAGGUUAAUAACCUUGUCGAUUGACGUUACCCGCAGAAGAAGCACCGGCUAACUCCGUGCCAGCAGCCGCGGUAAUACGGAGGGUGCAAGCGUUACUCGGAAUUACUGGGCGUAAAGCGCACGCAGGCGGUCUGUCAAGUCGGAUGUGAAAUCCCCGGGCUCAACCUGGGAACUGCAUUCGAAACUGGCAGGCUAGAGUCUUGUAGAGGGGGGUAGAAUUCCAGGUGUAGCGGUGAAAUGCGUAGAGAUCUGGAGGAAUACCGGUGGCGAAGGCGGCCCCCUGGACAAAGACUGACGCUCAGGUGCGAAAGCGUGGGGAGCAAACA